GAUUUGUUCAAUCACUAGAGAAUUAGUGGGACACCCAGUUUCUCUCUUUUUUUUCUUUUGUUGUUUUUUUAUUUUUUUUUUUAUUUUUCAGGAAUUAUAAUUUAAGGUUAAUAUGUAGAUUUAGCACAACAUGGUAUUUAGAACUAAACCGUUUACACUACAUGUGUAUCAGUGUUAUCGUGUCUAUUCUGUAAACUAUUUAAACUGAUUUGUAAUGUUACACUCCUGUGAACAGUCUCUGUGGAGAUUGUAUUUUUAUUUUUAUUUUAUAAUGAUUUGUAAGAUGUGGAGACUUGUAUUUGUCCACUCACUAGAGAAUUAGUGGGACACUCAGUUUCUCUCUUUUUUUCUUUUCUUUUUUUCUUUUUUUUUUUUUUUCAGUAAUUUGUAAAAUGUGGAGACUUGGGUUUGUUCACUAACUUGUCGGCUGGUGGGACACUCCCUACUUCUCCCAUUUAAGUUGAAUUUUAAUUGUGUUUACAUGAUACAACACUGUACUUGCUUCUUUGCACAGCGUAUCAGUACGCAAAAGCCUCUGUUUUUCAGGAUGGUUGUUCAUUUAAAGGAGGGCCUAAACCAAAGUGCAUCUCUAUAGUAUUUGUGGAUCAAUCCCACAGAAGGAGUGUAGAUGCGCUCUUAAUACUUUUUUCCUAGUUCCAUAAAAAGGGCUUUAACUGGGGGGCAGGCCGCUGUGUAAGUUUGUCCAGAAAUGUGUUUGAGUCAGAUCCACCGUGUCCCUGGUGAGUAAAGAUCAAUACUAAUGUAAUAUUUGUAUUAAUUGCUAAAGACUGUUGUUUGCUUUUAAGAGAAAGGUGCGUCUCUGUUGGAGCUAUCCCUGGAGUCAUCCACAAAAUGCAGUGAACCACCACCAGAGGGAGCCCUGAUUCUAACGUCAGAACACAAGGAUCCAUAAUCAUCGUCAUCUCUGCUAAGAGGUCUACAGCUACAAUGACAGAUGAUCCACAGACCUCUGAUCCAAAAACAUCCCUGGAGUGUGGCCCAUCAGAUGCUGUCACCCAUAUGAGAGGAAGAGGUGAACGAGACCUGGUCCAAUAAGAGACUCGGGCCAACACAAGGGAGAAGGCCUUCAGUCUGUGUAAUCUGCUGUGACUCUGAAGUUCAGUCUAAUCAAAACUAAAGCACCACUCCUGAUGAAGAUCUCCAGAGGAACGAGAACCUCCAACAAAACUAAAGCACCACUCCCGAUGAAGAUCUCCAGAGGAA
Molecule: long non-coding RNA, 1224 nt
Organism: Boleophthalmus pectinirostris (great blue-spotted mudskipper)
Lineage: Eukaryota; Metazoa; Chordata; Actinopteri; Gobiiformes; Gobiidae
Exons: 3
Source: RefSeq, a predicted model, not a curated record